AUUGAACGCUGGCGGCAGGCCUAACACAUGCAAGUCGAACGGUAGCACAGAGAGCUUGCUCUCGGGUGACGAGUGGCGGACGGGUGAGUAACGUCUGGGAAACUGCCCGAUGGAGGGGGAUAACUACUGGAAACGGUAGCUAAUACCGCAUCACGUCGCAAGACCAAAGUAGGGGACCUUCGGGCCUCACACCAUCGGAUGAGCCCAGAUGGGAUUAGCGAGUAGGUGGGGUAAUGGCACACCUAGGCGACGAUCCCUAGCUGGGCAGAGAGGAUGCCCAGCCACACUGGAACUGAGACACGGUCCAGAAUCCUACGGGAGGCAGCAGUGGGGAAUAUUGCACAAUGGGCGCAAGCCUGAUGCAGCCAUGCCGCGUGUAUGAAGAAGGCCUUCGGGUUGUAAAGUACUUUCAGCGGGGAGGAAGGCGGUGAAGUUAAUAACUUCACCGAUUGACGUUACCCGCAGAAGAAGCACCGGCUAACUCCGUGCCAGCCGCCGCCGUAA
Molecule: ribosomal RNA, 504 nt
Filed under: uncultured bacterium
Lineage: Bacteria
Description: partial 16S ribosomal RNA
Rfam family: Bacterial small subunit ribosomal RNA
Source: RNAcentral